GGGGGGAGGAUUGGAAGGUUCAAAGAGCAGCUGCCAGGUCAAGGGCACCCCGUAAGAGAAGAAGUCGGCUGUAGUUAGCAUCCCCAGCCUUCCCCUGCCCACCCGCCACACACCCAUGUUCUGGCAACCUGGGGAACUGCCAGGUGGCUGGGAGCCCUCCGCACAGCAGCCCUCAGGGCCAGCGAGUGUGUCCUUGGUGGUGUUACCAGGAACUGUCCUUUCAAAGGAGGGAGUUGCUAUCCUGCUGGGCUUGGAGCAGAAGUGUGGGGAAGAGGGAAGGAGUGUAAUUUACCUGCCUAUGAGUGAUGGAGGCAUUAGAGGACCUGGUCCCUUCCAGGCCCCAGACUCAUCUUUCACUUUUUCUGUGAAAAGGAGGAUGCUGCUUCUUCAUUGGAUGAGCUUUAAGACUUCAACAGGCCUGCAGGCCCAGCCUGCCUCCUACUCUGGGACCAGUCCUGACUCACUGGAGGGGUUUAGGGGCUCACUAAUGGCUGACGUCAGUGGAUACAUCACAUGCCAGGUAAUUCUCUUUACAUUUUGUCUAUUAUCUCUCUCCAUCCUCUUUCCAGGGUAAGCACUGCAAUGAUUAUACUGAAGCAGAGAAGGCCUCUGUCAAGAUCACACGGGUAGCAAGUGGUAGAGCCAAGAUUCACCUCAGGAAGUCCUAUCCCAGAACCCUGUGGAAACCUGUCUGCUGAAGAACUUCCCUCCCUGACCCAUGCCAGCCUCCUGGGUCACCCCUGCCCUCUUCUACUCUGAGCAUCCAGGUGUGAGAAACUACUUUCCACUCUUGCCUCUGGGUCUUUGCACAUGCUGUUCCUUCUUCCCUAGAGUACCUUCCUUCCUUUACUUGAACAACUUUAACUUAUUGUUUAGAGUACAUACCCCCUGGGAAAGCACUUUCUGAGUCUGUGUCUGAACUGGUGUCCUCACUCUGAGCUCCUGAAGUGCUUCCUGGCUCUGUACUGGAAUUGCCUUUUGGCACUGGUCUGUUGCUGUUAGCGUGAACACUGUGUACAUUUCACUCCAUAUUGCUCUUGCUCACUAUUGUGCCCUGAGUGGUUAGCACAGUGUCCACAUUCAUGCUGGGUGGAGAAUAAGUUCCUGAACGACUGCUCCGUACCAUGUGGCUGAGUGUACCUGCCUUUAUGGGGUUACGUGUCAUGAGGCCACUGAGGCAGGCUUCCAGGGUGAGACCGAGAAGAUGGUGCCAGUGAGAGAGCAGAAGGGAGGGGGCCCACCCUUUGCUAAGCCCUUGAAGUGUAUUGCACAUGAUCACCUCAGGGGCCAGUGACCAGGAGACUAGCUGGGACUACCCAGCAGCUGACAGCACCCAGUGAUGGUCCCCCCUGAUUGAGAAGGCUCCCUGCCUCUGCAGGAUGGGGAGGGAAGCACAUUCCAAAGGCAACUUGACAGAAAAGGGAGAAAGGGCUCUCCAGCUUCCUUUGCAGCUAAUGCACUGGUUUUUGCUGGCAUGCUGUAUUUUUUAAUUUAGCUCGGUGCUGGAAGAGCUUGCCCAGUUGAAUAAGCAGGGGAAAACUCAUGGCCUGAGUCAAUCACAGACCACAUCAAACAAAGCAAGACUUUCAACCCAGGGGAGAUUUUUGCCUUUCCUGGCAGGGACAGCAGCCAUGAGAAUUACAAAGGAUUUUGGUCAAGGGAAUGCAAUGAACAUUCUGUUCUGGAAGUCCUGGGGCCCUGAAUAGCUUGGAGGAGAGACAACAAAUGCAUUGCUCAAGGUCACAACCAUGUUUCUCUCUGGCUUAGUGUCAAGAGGGCCCUAGGAAGCUUUAUAGGUCAGUGCAGGUUAUUGGAAGGACAGUGUUCCCACAAGCAUCCUGACCCCCAGUCCAGAGCUCUUACUACCCCCCCUCCCCCAGUUAACAGUACCCUCCACCACUGAGGUGCCUUCAGAAUGUCAUCUUUCACCUGGGACUGGAGAGGUGCUCUGUAUCACCCAUACAAUCUCUCCAGACUCAAGGUCAAGCUCUGCCUCUCAGCAAGGGAGCAUCAUGGGCCUUUGAUGUAAAGGCCAUCCAUAUGGUAUUUUGAGUUUACUGAGUAGCAGCUGAGAUCCACUUGCAAAAUUAUUUCAAGAACCUAAUUGGAUGAGCCUCAUACCCCAUUUUCAUAAAAUCUUUUCAUAAACAAUUAACUGAUGAUGCAAAAUGAAAAUGUUGCCUGUUGGCUGUUGCCCACAUUACAAGUUACCUCUACUGCUUGAAUGAAGGUCACAAUGUCGCUAUUAACAUUUGGGACUUGGAUCUCCUAAGUUUGCUCUUUGAAUAUUUGAGUAAAUAAUCUUCAUUUUUUAAAAAUAUUUUUUAUUGAGGUAUAAUUUAUACAGAGUGAAACACUCAAACCUAGCCUAUAGUGUUUGAUGAGUUUUGACAAAUAUAUACACAGUGGAACCACCACACCAAUCAAAGACAUAAAACAUUUCUAUUACCUAGAAAUCUCCCUCUUGCCCUUUUCAAUCAAUCUCAGCUGUUCUGACUUCUAUCACUGUAGAUUGGUUUUGUCUCUAUAGUGUCUGUUAUGGAUUGAAUAUGUGUCCCUGUAAAAUUUGUAAGUUGAAAUCUUAACCCCAGGGUGGUUAUACUAGGAGACAGGGCCUUUGAGAAGGCACUGGGGGGUGAAAGUGGAGCCCUUAUGAAUGAGAUUGGUGCCCUUAUAAAAUAAAAGGGAUCCCAGAGAGAUCCUGCCCCUCUCCCACCAUGUGAGGACACAGCAAGAAGACGACUCUCUAUGAACCAAGGAGCACAUUCCAACCAGACAUGGAACCUGCCAGUGCCUUGAUCUUGGACUUCCCACCCUCCAGAAUGAUUCUGUCUUACCCCAGGAAAAAUGAACAGGCCUUCCUGGGAUUUGAGGAUCAGCCUGUCUGGGCUUUUUCUCUCUGCUAGAUGUAUCAUCAAGCCACAUUGUACAAGAAAGCCACCUGAGAAAGCUUUGUGUUCAGGAGGUUAGACCAGAGGAAGGGGUCUGACUCUGAGCGGACCCCUAGGAACUGGAGCAAAGGGGUCUGACCGCAGCUGUUCCCUCAUGGAGGAGCCCUAAAGCCCUGGGGUGCCCUGCUUCUCUUGACAAGACCUCAGAGGAAGAGGCUGCAGGAUAGCUGGUGGGGCCAGGAACGAGGAAUCAUGGCCAAGGAAACGUACGUGAGAGGCUGGACAAGCAUAGUCCCCACCAGGAAAGUGGGCCCAUCGGAGGGGAAAGCUCAAGCAGGAGACUGCAUUUGUUGAAUAGCAGCAUUAAGCAGGUUCCUGGGAGGGCCCAGGAGACCAAGCUGCAGAUGCUGCCUUUCCCAGCAAUGUCACUGUCCUCUGUCCUCAGUGAUGAAUCAUUGUUCAGCAUCCUCGAAAUCCUUCCUGUACUAGAGUUUUAUACUCACACCCUUGGCCCCGUGACUUUGCAGUGCUAUCCAUUAGUGUGUGUGGAGGGGGCCUCCCACCCCCAGCACGGUGGCAUGGCCAUGCAACUGGCUUCUGUCAAGGGUGUGCAGACAAGAAUGACUCCAGGGGUCUCCAGAGGCAUCAAGUUUCUCAGUUCAACUUCUGGUGCUCCUGCCAUUUGCUGGGCAAAGAACAUGCCCUAGGAGAGUUGGUCCAAGGCAAAUGUGGAGACGAGUGGAUAUUAGCCGACUUGAAGCCUUAAUCCUAGCCUGGCAGACCUGUAGCCUCAAGCAGAGUUUUCCCAGACAACCUACAGGCCUGAAAGCAAGAAAAAGAAAUGCUCUUCGUUGUAUGCCAUCAAGGUUUGGUAUGGUUUGUGAUGCAGAAUUAUUAAAGCAUUUGCUGACUGAUGUGUGCACUAAUACCAUUCUCCCCUCUUUUGUAAUAAUGUAAAUCCCAACGUUUAACAGGCUGUUUGGAAUCAGGCUAAGUUCCCCAGCCUUCCUUGCAGCUAAGUGUGGCCGUGUUACUGAGGUCUGGUUAAUGAAAUGUUAGUAGAAGUGUUGUAUGGUAGUUUCCAAGACCCUCCCUGAAGGCCUGUGGCAUGAAGUAUUCAUCCUUUCCUGCAUCCUGCUAUCUGGAACAAGGAUAUGAUGGCUGGAGCUCUAGCUGACAUUUUGGCUCCUGAGAUAGGCCAUAUCCCUAAGAAGAUGGGGUGGUAAAUCACCUGGACUAUUCUGUGAGAGAGAAAUACAUAAAUUGUGUUCUUUCUUUAAGCUUCUUUAUCUCUAAAAUUCCCCUACUGAGCUUACUCCUGACAGUUCUCAAGACAGUUUUUACUAAAUCUGAUAGCUAAUUAUGACGUUACUUUGAAGCAGAGUGUCCUGUAGCCACGAUCAACUGUUAAUACUAAUCAACUGUUUGAUACUAACCAAAAUGGAUACACACUAAACAGUUAAAAAUACAUCUCCUGGGAAGGAGGAUGGGGCGGGGGUAGGGAGGGUGACUGAUAACGGAUAUGGGUUCUUUUGGAGGGAAUACAAAUGUUCUAAUAUGAGAUAGUGGCGAUGGCCACACAACUCUGUGAAUAUGUGAAAACCAACAGAAGUGUAUACUUUUACAAGGUUCAGUCUCAUGGUAUGUAGUUAUGUCUCAAUAAACAUAAAAAUCAGUCACCUGUUCAUCGUUUAUACCAUUGUGAGGCAGGUACUAUCAUUUCCCCCUAUAUCACAGCUCAUGAAGCCGUGGCCCAGAGAGCUUACGUGUCCCCUAAUCUCAUUAACCUCAUCAAUGUCAGAGAUGAGACCAGAGCUCGGGUCUCCUGACCCAGCACCCUUACUGACUCCCCCUGACCCCCGCCUGAGGGCCACAGGGGAACCGCACUCAGGGACUAUGUAGGCAACACUGAGUUGUAAAUGUAAUUUGUUUUUAUUUUUCUUUUUAGCACCUUCUGUGCUGGCACCUCUUCCCUCCAGUGACCCUCCAUUAUAUGCCAACUACUCUGCUUGUUCAGGGUCCCAGCCCACUCUAUUUUACAAACUUUCUUGCCAAGAAUUAUAAAAAAAUUCAACUGAUAUGAACCAGCAUAGAUGACAGAUGCAAGUAGUGUUUCCCACAUUGCCAGAUACCCCAGCUCUCAAAUGCCCCUGCCUCCUUCUACCCCCACCUAGGGUGGCCAGAGGGCCAGGGCAUCUUCCUUUGGGGCUCCAUCAUCUGGGGGACUUUUGAUUGACAGAACACACAUUUAUGGGAGGUCUUCUGUGAACCAGCAGUUGUGAUGAAUGCUUAAAUAUAUUCUUAUUUAAACUUCCCUGCAAUCCAUUGACCAUGUGCAUUGAUGAGCCCAUUUUACAGAGAAGGAAACUGAAGCUCAGAGAGGAUCGGUAACCCUCCCAAGUUCUCACAGGUAGGGAGUGACCAAGUCAGGGUUCGAACCCAAGUCUUCUAAUGCUAAGUCCAAUAUUCUUUUCCUUAUCAUGUGCAGGCAUUGUUCCCUGGUAUCCCCCUGGGGUCUACCACUGGCCUAGAACACAAGAGGAGUUCAAGGAGGGAAUAAAAAAGAAAUAAAGGAAAUCCAACCUUGGCCAGCUUGCCCAAAGGCCUUUUUCCCUUAAGCAAGAUCUAUGAAUCACCCUCGGCCCCAGCACAUGUGUGUGUGACCGCAAGACUCAAUCAGGGGUUUUCCUUUUUCAAGAGGAGGAAGUUCACUGCCCUGUUUUGGCAUAGCUGGGGCACACAGUAAGCAGGAGGAGGACGGGAGAAGAAAAGCAGGAGAUACGUUGUUUCCUCUUCUUAGAAGCCGCAAGAGCUGUCUUAACAUCCGCUGAGGAGAUGGAAGGCGAGCAUCCUGAGAGGGGAACCCCUUGGGAGAGUGGGAAGGAGAUAGAGUGUCGAGGAAACUCACAAACUACAGAAGGAAAGGGAAUGGUGGACCAGUUGCAGACUGUAGAGAUGUAGAAACUGUCUUGCAAAACUAACAUCAUAUAAAGUCAUUUACAAUACCUUUCCCCUUAGGAAAUAGGUUGUAAGUAGCUGG
This is a long non-coding RNA of Manis javanica (Malayan pangolin), 5931 nucleotides long. RefSeq lists it as uncharacterized. The record is from RefSeq and is a predicted model, not a curated record. NCBI's taxonomy places the organism in Eukaryota, Metazoa, Chordata, Mammalia, Pholidota, Manidae.